AAGUUUCAAUAUCAUAACAGUUUUUUUAUAUUCUUUUGUCAAAAUUUUCUAUCUUUCCUAUUCACAUGAUAUUAACAAUUAUAGUAUUCUGCAGAUUGUUGAUAAAGCACUAUCUAUUGAAGAAAAUUCUAGCGAGAGUUUACAAGCAACGGAUGAAGAAGAGUCUUGAAAGCAUGAUGGAAGCUUAUAUGAAGAAGAGUAUUCUGCAGUUUGUGCAUCAUGUUGUCAGUGUUGUACUUUGUGACUUUGGUGAAGCGUGUAUGUUUUGUUUGUAGUGUUGUAUGGAUUAUUUGAAGUCUGUAUGUUUUGCUUCAAUCAGCUUGCUCCUUUUAUGUACUGGACUGUUUUGGUAUU
RNAcentral lists this long non-coding RNA (354 nucleotides) under Ananas comosus (pineapple). RNAcentral's name for it is "long non-coding RNA (ACOM_LNC019530)". Lineage: Eukaryota; Viridiplantae; Streptophyta; Magnoliopsida; Poales; Bromeliaceae. The record is from RNAcentral.